GUCCAAGUUGCCUCUUUUACGGGGAGUCAAUGUAAAGAGAGGCCGUGAAAAGCCGGUGGGCGGGUGGAGAAGCUAUCACAGCCGAGCAGACAAAAACCAACAGCCCCGGUGCCUCAAAGAUCCUCGCGAUGCCUUUUCUGUUGGUUUCUGAGGAAGGCGGAGCUCGUGUCGGUGCAUAGCGAGGCAUGAUUAGCCACAGGAAGUGACUACUGCUGGAAACAGUGCGGCGGAAAGCAGACGGGGGAGACAACUUUAAGCACGACACCAAGGCCUAAGGUCUUUGGGGGAAAGACUGAGGCCAUUUUACAGCAGAAAAAUAGGUUGCCUCAAUUUGCCCGCAGCCCCUCCAAUUACAUCUCACGGCCCUACUUGGAGACCCCGGCGAUUGAAAUGGUAGCGAUGUCACUGCUUGACACGGUAAUGGGACAAAGAGGCAGAGACUCGUCUUCAAAUCCAGACAAGGGAGUGAAAUCUUUUCCUAAGAACAAGUGUCUUCCAGGACAAUUGGAUAGAAUGUGGACAUUUCUAUAACACUGCUGUCUAAUAUUGACAGAGCGAGAUCCCACCCUUUGACAUCCAUUAGAGGAGAUCUUGUCAGAUCCCAUCAACACUGAUACCAUCCUCUCUGAAGACGACUUGAUGCAGCGAGAGGCACAAUGGCACGUCGCACAGUCACACAAUGUGGAGACGAUUAGGACCCAGAUGAAUGAAGACGCAGGGCAGAGAAUAAAAUAUACAUGGCGCUCUCCAACUCUCAUUUUAGAACACGCUCCCAAAACCUCCCGUCCUCCUCGGUUAGGGGAUGCGAAGCCGGAGCGCUGCGAGGUCGCCGGGAACUGUAAAAUGGAUUAGCUGGCAGCGUGGGAGGGAGCCACGGGGACACUGUGAGGAAGGGUCAUUAGGGAACGGUGCAGAGAUGUGAAAUGGAGACUUUCCUCAAUGGUGUUACUCCUCUGGGUGGUGGAGUGGCGAGAGCGGAACAGACACCUCCAUCAAUAGCCUCGAUCACCUCCACGCAGCACGUCCAGAAAGCAGCGCAUGCACAUGUACCCCCCCUCUCCUGCUGAUACCCACUCGCAGCUAGCUACCACAGUAUGUCUAUUUAUAGACGCCGUGUGCCCCAUUUACAAGCAUAGUGACACUGGAUGUGUAAAAAUAAUUACAAAAAAUAAAAGUGG
This is a long non-coding RNA of Gasterosteus aculeatus aculeatus (three-spined stickleback), 1178 nucleotides long. NCBI's taxonomy places the organism in Eukaryota, Metazoa, Chordata, Actinopteri, Perciformes, Gasterosteidae. The record is from Ensembl.